UACGUAGGGGGCAAGCGUUGUCCGGAUUUAUUGGGCGUAAAGAGCGUGUAGGCGGCCGUACAGGUCAGCUGUGAAAACUCGAGGCUCAACCUCGAGACGUCGGUUGAAACCGUACGGCUAGAGUCCGGAAGAGGAGAGUGGAAUUCCCGGUGUAGCGGUGAAAUGCGCAGAUAUCGGGAAGAACACCCGUGGCGAAGGCGGGUUGCUGGGCCGACACUGACGCUGAUGCGCGAAAGCCAGGGGAGCGAACGGG
RNAcentral lists this ribosomal RNA (253 nucleotides) under uncultured bacterium. RNAcentral describes it as "partial 16S ribosomal RNA". It matches the Rfam family "Bacterial small subunit ribosomal RNA", at positions 524 to 776 of the family's 1533-position model. The record is from RNAcentral.